This 84-nucleotide transfer RNA is filed under the name Chitinivibrio alkaliphilus ACht1. It matches the Rfam family "tRNA". Rfam says of the family: Transfer RNA (tRNA) molecules are approximately 80 nucleotides in length. Their secondary structure includes four short double-helical elements and three loops (D, anti-codon, and T loops). Lineage: Bacteria; Pseudomonadati; Fibrobacterota; Chitinivibrionia; Chitinivibrionales; Chitinivibrionaceae. The record is from Rfam by way of RNAcentral.
GCGGUUGUGGCGGAAUUGGUAGACGCGUAUGAUUCAGGUUCAUAUGGCCAUAUGGCCGUGAAGGUUCAAGUCCUUUCAACCGCA